This 705-nucleotide ribosomal RNA is filed under the name Psychrobacter sp. DJQD6. RNAcentral describes it as "bacterial SSU rRNA". It matches the Rfam family "Bacterial small subunit ribosomal RNA", at positions 389 to 1086 of the family's 1533-position model. The record is from RNAcentral. Lineage: Bacteria; Pseudomonadati; Pseudomonadota; Gammaproteobacteria; Moraxellales; Moraxellaceae.
CAGCCAUGCCGCGUGUGUGAAGAAGGCCUUUUGGUUGUAAAGCACUUUAAGCAGUGAAGAAGACUCUUCGGUUAAUACCCGGAGACGAUGACAUUAGCUGCAGAAUAAGCACCGGCUAACUCUGUGCCAGCAGCCGCGGUAAUACAGAGGGUGCAAGCGUUAAUCGGAAUUACUGGGCGUAAAGCGAGCGUAGGUGGCUUGAUAAGUCAGAUGUGAAAUCCCCGGGCUUAACCUGGGAACUGCAUCUGAAACUGUUAGGCUAGAGUAGGUGAGAGGGAAGUAGAAUUUCAGGUGUAGCGGUGAAAUGCGUAGAGAUCUGAAGGAAUACCGAUGGCGAAGGCAGCUUCCUGGCAUCAUACUGACACUGAGGCUCGAAAGCGUGGGUAGCAAACAGGAUUAGAUACCCUGGUAGUCCACGCCGUAAACGAUGUCUACUAGUCGUUGGGUCCCUUGAGGACUUAGUGACGCAGCUAACGCAAUAAGUAGACCGCCUGGGGAGUACGGCCGCAAGGUUAAAACUCAAAUGAAUUGACGGGGGCCCGCACAAGCGGUGGAGCAUGUGGUUUAAUUCGAUGCAACGCGAAGAACCUUACCUGGUCUUGACAUAUCUAGAAUCCUGCAGAGAUGCGGGAGUGCCUUCGGGAAUUAGAAUACAGGUGCUGCAUGGCUGUCGUCAGCUCGUGUCGUGAGAUGUUGGGUUAAGUC